GCCGAUGUAGCUCAGCUGGUAGAGCAAUCCCUUCGUAAGGGAUAGGUCGUCGGUUCAAGCCCGACCAUCGGCUCCA
RNAcentral lists this transfer RNA (76 nucleotides) under candidate division WWE3 bacterium. RNAcentral describes it as "tRNA-Thr". It matches the Rfam family "tRNA". Rfam says of the family: Transfer RNA (tRNA) molecules are approximately 80 nucleotides in length. Their secondary structure includes four short double-helical elements and three loops (D, anti-codon, and T loops). Further hydrogen bonds mediate the characteristic L-shaped molecular structure. tRNAs have two regions of fundamental functional importance: the anti-codon, which is responsible for specific mRNA codon recognition, and the 3' end, to which the tRNAs corresponding amino acid is attached (by aminoacyl-tRNA synthetases). tRNAs cope with the degeneracy of the genetic code in two manners: having more than one tRNA (with a specific anti-codon) for a particular amino acid; and 'wobble' base-pairing, i.e. permitting non-standard base-pairing at the 3rd anti-codon position. The record is from RNAcentral. Lineage: Bacteria; candidate division WWE3.